AUUCCAGCUCCACUAGUGUAUGCUAAAGUUGCUGCAGUUAAAAAGUUCGUAUUUGGAUUUUUGGCAGCGCCGUUGAGUCCCGUCAUCUUGAUGUGUGACUCUGUGGCGCGCCUUCUGAAUAUGGCGCAAGCCGUGUUCUAGUUACCGUGAGGAAAUUGGAGUGCUCAAAGCAGGCGUAUGCAGCUGAACACAUUAGCAUGGGAUAACAAGGCAGGACUCUUUUCUUGUUUUGUUGGUUUCUCGUAGAAGAGAGUAAUGAUUAAUAGGGGCAGUCGGGGGCAUUAGUACGGCAACGUCAGAGGUGAAAUUCGUAGAUUGUUGUCAGACUAACUUCUGCGAAAGCAUUUGUCAAGGAUGCUUUCAUUA
Molecule: ribosomal RNA, 366 nt
Filed under: Hicanonectes sp.
Lineage: Eukaryota; Fornicata
Description: partial small subunit ribosomal RNA
Rfam family: Eukaryotic small subunit ribosomal RNA
Source: RNAcentral